CUAUUUGCCCGGAAGACCCGUAACCGAACAGACUGACAGUGCCUGAGUCAGUCGGAUAGCAGGACCCCUCAACCUUUGUUUAAGGUUCAUCCCGGAUGCCCCGGAGAUGACCAGUGGAACCCCAACAACCCCCUGGAAUGUCCGACGUCCUGGCGCUCAACUACGGGCAAUGUUCCGGCCAAUCGCCAACACCGGCCGAAGUCCCGAUCCGUCAACACAUCGGGAAGAGCCCAGGAUAACCGGAUGGGUCCACGCAGCGCGCGACGAGAACCGCUACCAAGCACCAGGAUGCGAGACCGCGGCCGAAGCCGACGGUCGAACCCAGAUCGCUGGUGGAUGGAGCAGAGGUGACGACGCCGAGCUGGUGGGGCCCCAAGAAGCAGAAGAAAAGGUCAGAUAGAAUAAGAAAGUGGGACAGUUUUGAGGUUAGGAGAAGGAGGAAAGUUAGUAGGA
Long non-coding RNA from Culex quinquefasciatus (southern house mosquito), 453 nucleotides. RefSeq lists it as uncharacterized. NCBI's taxonomy places the organism in Eukaryota, Metazoa, Arthropoda, Insecta, Diptera, Culicidae. The record is from RefSeq and is a predicted model, not a curated record. The transcript is spliced from 2 exons.